CCCGGCAGGGGGCGGAGGCUGGGCAGCCAGCAGGACCUGAACGCAGCGUACCGGCGUCGUGGCGUGGCUAAAAAGAUGGAAAUUGUGGAAUUGAAAGACUUCAAAACCUAAGUCAUGAAAUUGCGCCAGAGCCUGGAUCAUGCUUUUCUCAGACCCAGGAAUAUCCAGGGAGGGGAAGAGAGAGAGCAUGUGAGCAGAGGAAGGAGGCAGAGCAGAGGAAAUAGAGGUGAAGUAUAA
RNAcentral lists this long non-coding RNA (237 nucleotides) under Ursus maritimus (polar bear). Its description in RNAcentral is "lncRNA (ENSUMAG00000017781.1)". The record is from RNAcentral. Lineage: Eukaryota; Metazoa; Chordata; Mammalia; Carnivora; Ursidae.